This 828-nucleotide ribosomal RNA is filed under the name Beauveria bassiana. RNAcentral describes it as "partial large subunit ribosomal RNA". It matches the Rfam family "Eukaryotic large subunit ribosomal RNA", at positions 108 to 967 of the family's 3401-position model. Lineage: Eukaryota; Fungi; Ascomycota; Sordariomycetes; Hypocreales; Cordycipitaceae. The record is from RNAcentral.
CUCAAAUUUGAAAUCUGGCUCUCAGGGCCCGAGUUGUAAUUUGUAGAGGAUGCUUUUGGCGAGGUGCCUUCCGAGUUCCCUGGAACGGGACGCCACAGAGGGUGAGAGCCCCGUAUGGUCGGACACCGAGCCUCUGUAAAGCUCCUUCGACGAGUCGAGUAGUUUGGGAAUGCUGCUCAAAAUGGGAGGUAUAUGUCUUCUAAAGCUAAAUAUUGGCCAGAGACCGAUAGCGCACAAGUAGAGUGAUCGAAAGAUGAAAAGCACUUUGAAAAGAGGGUUAAAAAGUACGUGAAAUUGUUGAAAGGGAAGCGCCUAUGACCAGACUUGCGCCCGGUGAAUCACCCAGCGUUCUCGCUGGUGCACUUUGCCGGGCACAGGCCAGCAUCAGUUCAGCGCGGGGGAGAAAGGCUUCGGGAAUGUGGCUCCCUCGGGAGUGUUAUAGCCCGCUGCGUAAUGCCCUGCGCCGGACUGAGGUACGCGCAUUGCAAGGAUGCUGGCGUAAUGGUCAUCAGCGACCCGUCUUGAAACACGGACCAAGGAGUCGUCUUCGUAUGCGAGUGUUCGGGUGUCAAACCCCUACGCGUAAUGAAAGUGAACGUAGGUGAGAGCUUCGGCGCAUCACCGACCGAUCCUGAUGUUCUCGGAUGGAUUUGAGUAAGAGCAUACGGGGCCGGACCCGAAAGAAGGUGAACUAUGCCUGUAUAGGGUGAAGCCAGAGGAAACUCUGGUGGAGGCUCGCAGCGGUUCUGACGUGCGAAUCGAUCGUCAAAUAUGGGCAUGGGGGCGAAAGACUAAUCGAACCUUCUAGUAGCUGGUUUCCGCCGAAGU